AGUCACUGACAUUAGAUACCCCCGUAGUCCAGGGUGUAAACGCUGCAGACUUGGUGUUGGAGGCCCUUUGGGGGCAUUCAGUGCCGGAGAGAAGUUGUUAAGUCUGCUACUUGGGGAGUACGUCCGCAAGGAUGAAACUUAAAGGAAUUGGCGGGGGAGCACCGCAACGGGAGGAGCGUGCGGUUUAAUUGGAUUCAACACCGUAAAACUCACCAGGGAAGACUGUUACAUGAAGGCCGAGAUGAAGACUCUGCUAGAUUUUUCAG
RNAcentral lists this ribosomal RNA (266 nucleotides) under uncultured archaeon. RNAcentral describes it as "partial 16S ribosomal RNA". It matches the Rfam family "Archaeal small subunit ribosomal RNA", at positions 718 to 982 of the family's 1478-position model. The record is from RNAcentral.